UCCACGACCGACAGUCUCUUUAACUCUGACAUCAAGAACUCUUUUUUUUUUUUGAUCCAUCAAUCACUCUUUCUUGAAUCAUGUGCUUGUGGAUGCUAAUCAUUCCCCUAACCCCUAACAUAAACCCCAUACAUUCUCUCUUCAAUUGGGUUCCUUUACUUGUAAUCUUAGUCCAAGGUAUGUCAAAAGUCGGGCAAAUAGAAUGUCUGACCCGAAACGAUGUGUUAUUAGGCUUUACACAACAAGCUAUGGUUGUCGACUCUGCCAUUAUUGUUACAAAGUCCUUCGCUUGGUUGCUCACGAGGAUGUGAACUCUGCCUAAUGGAAUUGAUAUCCGCUUGAAAGAGCCUGAAGCAUAUGCUGGGUUUCCACUGGCUCAGCUUCUUGCUGUGAGAAAACCUAGUCCUGAUAACAAGGAUGCCAGUGAUACUGAGGAUGGUGAUGAUGAUAAUGAGGAAGCAGCAGUAGAUGAUCAAGAUGGAGUAGGAGGAGGAUGCUUCUGGUGAAGAUGAAGGAGAUCCCAAAGAUGAACCUGAGGCCAACGGGGAAGGUGACAGUGGAGAAGAGGAUGUCGAUGAGAAGGAGAAGGACGACAAUAAUAACAAUGAUGUCGAAGAGGAGGAAGAGCUCCAGCCACCAGCUAAAAGGCGAAAAUGAGCUUGAAUCUCUUGUCCUUGUUAUUUAUCGACUUGCUGAGGCUAGGGGUAUGGUGUACUGGGAAGUUAGAAUGGGUCGAUUCGAGUUACAGACUAAUGGUGUCUGUCUAAAUUAGAGUAGAUAACAUUGUGACAGUUCUGGAAAUCACACUUGUUUCAUAUUUCCUAAUAUACAGUUAGAGUAUCAUUAUAUAAUCUAUGCUUCAUUCUUUUCUCCUUGAUCUUUUGUAUG
This is a long non-coding RNA of Hibiscus syriacus, 888 nucleotides long. RefSeq lists it as uncharacterized. The transcript is spliced from 3 exons. Lineage: Eukaryota; Viridiplantae; Streptophyta; Magnoliopsida; Malvales; Malvaceae. The record is from RefSeq and is a predicted model, not a curated record.